UCUCUCUGAAUCUGCGAACGGCUCCGCAAACCAGUUGUAAACCAAAGCAAGCAAGUCCAUGGACCGCCCUUCACGGGGUGGGCUGUGGGCGAUACGGAUAACCCUGGUAAUUCUGAGGCUAAUACGAGAACGUAAUCCCUGGUUAACCGGGCAACUGGAAGGCCGGGGGGCGUGUGAUCUAUUUGCAAGGAUGAUCCAGGAAGGGGCGCACGCUCGGACCACGACAAAGACAGUUCCGACAAACCUCCGGGUGAGUUGGUCCUGAGUGGCUCUUGCGAAGUGCUUCUGACCUAUCAACUAGAUGGCAGCGUAACGGACAUGCCAUGGUUACAACGGGUACAGAGGAUUAGGGUUCGAUCCUGGAGAGUGGGCCUGAGAGAUU
This 382-nucleotide ribosomal RNA is filed under the name Diderma tigrinum. Its description in RNAcentral is "SSU rRNA". It matches the Rfam family "Eukaryotic small subunit ribosomal RNA", at positions 76 to 405 of the family's 1831-position model. Lineage: Eukaryota; Evosea; Eumycetozoa; Physariida; Didymiaceae. The record is from RNAcentral.